GAUGAACGCUGGCGGCGUGCCUAAUACAUGCAAGUCGAGCGAACAGACGAGGAGCUUGCUCCUCUGACGUUAGCGGCGGACGGGUGAGUAACACGUGGAUAACCUACCUAUAAGACUGGGAUAACUUCGGGAAACCGGAGCUAAUACCGGAUAAUAUAUUGAACCGCAUGGUUCAAUAGUGAAAGACGGUUUUGCUGUCACUUAUAGAUGGAUCCGCGCCGCAUUAGCUAGUUGGUAAGGUAACGGCUUACCAAGGCAACGAUGCGUAGCCGACCUGAGAGGGUGACCGGCCACACUGGAACUGAGACACGGUCCAGACUCCUACGGGAGGCAGCAGUAGGGAAUCUUGCGCAAUGGGCGAAAGCCUGACGGAGCAACGCCGCGUGAGUGAUGAAGGUCUUCGGAUCGUAAAACUCUGUUAUUAGGGAAGAAGAAAUGUGUAAGUAACUAUGCACGUCUUGACGGUACCUAAUCAGAAAGCCACGGCUAACUCCGUG
This 497-nucleotide ribosomal RNA is filed under the name uncultured bacterium. RNAcentral describes it as "partial 16S ribosomal RNA". It matches the Rfam family "Bacterial small subunit ribosomal RNA", at positions 28 to 507 of the family's 1533-position model. The record is from RNAcentral.